AUGUGUGUCAGAGAACGGCCUGAGAACGCUAGGCCUUUUCCCCAACGCCUCCGGCUACCAAGCGCCUCGCCUGAGGUUGCCGACGAUGAUAUGUGGGUCACCCAGAAAGCAGACGUGUACAGCUUUGGCAUUUUACUGCUGGAGCUUCUCACCCGUAAGGCUCCUGUAAAGAAAACACAGUUUAAGGAGGGAGUGGAUUUGCUGCAGUUGAUACAAAACCGGACUAUGGUGUACGAGGUGUUGGAUAUGGAACUUCUAGAUCAUGAGGACAAGGGCGAGAGGAAGACAAGGAUGAUGCGACUCAUGGAGCUCGCCGUAAUCUGCUGCGAUUCAGAUCCCAACUUGAGGCCUACAAUGCCGUAUGUCGCGGAGCAGAUUGAGGAGAUCCGAUGUCUCUGA
RNAcentral lists this ribosomal RNA (399 nucleotides) under Triticum aestivum (bread wheat). Its description in RNAcentral is "partial small subunit ribosomal RNA". The record is from RNAcentral. Lineage: Eukaryota; Viridiplantae; Streptophyta; Magnoliopsida; Poales; Poaceae.